GUGCUCACUUCGGUAGCACAUAUAAUUGAAACAAUACAGAGAAGAUUAGCAUGGCUCCUGCACAAGGAUGACAUGCAAAUUCAUGAAGCAUUAAAAAAAAUU
This 102-nucleotide small nuclear RNA is filed under the name Castor canadensis (American beaver). The record is from RNAcentral. Lineage: Eukaryota; Metazoa; Chordata; Mammalia; Rodentia; Castoridae.